RNAcentral lists this ribosomal RNA (468 nucleotides) under uncultured bacterium. RNAcentral describes it as "partial 16S ribosomal RNA". It matches the Rfam family "Bacterial small subunit ribosomal RNA", at positions 28 to 507 of the family's 1533-position model. The record is from RNAcentral.
GACGAACGCUGGCGGCGUGCUUAACACAUGCAAGUCGAACGGAAAGGCCCUGCUUUUGUGGGGUGCUCGAGUGGCGAACGGGUGAGUAACACGUGAGUAACCUGCCCUUGACUGUGGGAUAACUUCAGGAAACUGGGGCUAAUACCGGAUAGGAGCUCCUGCUGCAUGGGGGGGGUUGGAAAGUUUCGGCGGUUGGGGAUGGACUCGCGGCUUAUCAGCUUGUUGGUGGGGUAGUGGCUUACCAAGGCUUUGACGGGUAGCCGGCCUGAGAGGGUGACCGGCCACAUUGGGACUGAGGUACGGCCCAGACUCCUACGGGAGGCAGCAGUGGGGAAUAUUGCACAAUGGGCGGAAGCCUGAUGCAGCAACGCCGCGUGCGGGAUGACGGCCUUCGGGUUGUAAACCGCUUUCGCCUGUGACGAAGCGUGAGUGACGGUAAUGGGUAAAGAAGCACCGGCUAACUACGUG